GGUAUACAGAAGCAAAGAAGCAUUUUUAACUUGCAAGUACUUCAGUAUACCUGGUCACAAAAACAUGAAAAUGGCUCUAGAUGUAGUCCAACAUCUCUGGAUUCUGACGGUGUUUUUAUUUCAUUCUGAUGUAAACGGUUCAAAAGAUACGAGCUUUUGUUUGAGUCCAGUGCAGGGCUGCAUUUUCCAAUAGUGAAGAAGGAUGCAGCCGUGCGUCUCCCUCUGCGUGCUCGUUAACAUGACGACCUCGGUCCUCCAUCUCAGACACACGCAGAGCUCUCCAGUCUUUCCACAGCAGUCCACAGGUGUUUCAGGUUUCACCUACAAAACCAGGAUCCUGCAGUGUGAGAAUGUGGCCAUCUUCAACGAGAACAUGAGCUGCAGUGUUUGA
Molecule: long non-coding RNA, 391 nt
Filed under: Oryzias javanicus (javanese ricefish)
Lineage: Eukaryota; Metazoa; Chordata; Actinopteri; Beloniformes; Adrianichthyidae
Description: lncRNA (ENSOJAG00000000777.1)
Source: RNAcentral